Gymnothorax javanicus (giant moray) is the source of this 84-nucleotide non-coding RNA. The record is from the annotation of a GenBank genome assembly. NCBI's taxonomy places the organism in Eukaryota, Metazoa, Chordata, Actinopteri, Anguilliformes, Muraenidae.
UGCCGGAUAGUUCACUCGGUAAAGCGUCUUGUUGCAAAGCAGAAGUGACUAUCACGGCGCGGGUUCGAUCCCCGCCUCAUACCA